RNAcentral lists this ribosomal RNA (447 nucleotides) under uncultured bacterium. RNAcentral's name for it is "partial 16S ribosomal RNA". It matches the Rfam family "Bacterial small subunit ribosomal RNA", at positions 29 to 523 of the family's 1533-position model. The record is from RNAcentral.
AACGAACGCUGGCGGCAGGCUUAACACAUGCAAGUCGAACGCCCCGCAAGGGGAGCGGCGGACGGGUGAGUAACGCGUGGGAACGUACCCUUUGCUACGGAAUAGCCUCGGGAAACUGGGAGUAAUACCGUAUGUGCCCUUCGGGGGAAAGAUUUAUCGGCAAAGGAUCGGCCCGCGUUGGAUUAGGUAGUUGGUGGGGUAAUGGCCUACCAAGCCGACGAUCCAUAGCUGGUUUGAGAGGAUGAUCAGCCACACUGGGACUGAGACACGGCCCAGACUCCUACGGGAGGCAGCAGUGGGGAAUCUUAGACAAUGGGCGCAAGCCUGAUCUAGCCAUGCCGCGUGAGCGAUGAAGGCCUUAGGGUUGUAAAGCUCUUUCAGUGGGGAAGAUAAUGACUGUACCCACAGAAGAAGCCCCGGCUAACUCCGUGCCAGCAGCCGCCGUAA